This is a non-coding RNA of Pelobates cultripes (western spadefoot toad), 276 nucleotides long. The record is from the annotation of a GenBank genome assembly. NCBI's taxonomy places the organism in Eukaryota, Metazoa, Chordata, Amphibia, Anura, Pelobatidae.
GUUUGGGGUGUCUUGGAUUCCUCACAAUUUGGUACACAUUCAUUCUGGAUUGGGGCUGCCACGGAGGUGGCACGGUUGGGCCUGGGUGAUGAGCUGGUUAAGAAAAUUGGGAGGUGGGAAUCAGUCAGGUUCCGGUCUUAUGUUCGUCCUGAUCGGUUGGUGUAAUUCAGGUCAGGUGGUGGUGGGGAGACACUCUGUUCUGUUCAGGUGGUGCUAUGUUGUUUCUUUUCCUAUACUGGUGGGGUUACGUGGCUGGUAGGAAACUCUUACGUCUAC